RNAcentral lists this small nuclear RNA (19 nucleotides) under Arabidopsis thaliana (thale cress). Its description in RNAcentral is "snRNA_13484". Lineage: Eukaryota; Viridiplantae; Streptophyta; Magnoliopsida; Brassicales; Brassicaceae. The record is from RNAcentral.
UUGCACAUGGGUUAGUCGA